GGAAGAACACCAGUGGCGAAGGCGGUUCUCUGGACUGUAACUGACGCUGAGGCACGAAAGCGUGGGUAGCAAACAGGAUUAGAUACCCUGGUAGUCCACGCCGUAAACGAUGAGUACUAGGUGUAGGAGGUAUCGACCCCUUCUGUGCCGCAGUAAACACAAUAAGUACUCCGCCUGGGAAGUACGAUCGCAAGAUUAAAACUCAAAGGAAUUGACGGGGGCCCGCACAAGCAG
This 234-nucleotide ribosomal RNA is filed under the name uncultured Clostridium sp. Its description in RNAcentral is "partial 16S ribosomal RNA". It matches the Rfam family "Bacterial small subunit ribosomal RNA", at positions 700 to 932 of the family's 1533-position model. The record is from RNAcentral. Lineage: Bacteria; Bacillati; Bacillota; Clostridia; Eubacteriales; Clostridiaceae.